CCGCUGGAACUUAAGCAUAUCAAUAAGCGGAGGAAAAGAAACCAACCGGGAUUGCCUCAGUAACGGCGAGUGAAGCGGCAAGAGCUCAAAUUUGAAAGCUGGCUCCUUCGGAGUCCGCAUUGUAAUUUGCAGAGGAUGCUUUGGGUGCGGCCCCCGUCUAAGUGCCCUGGAACGGGCCGUCAGAGAGGGUGAGAAUCCCGUCUUGGGCGGGGUGUCCGUGCCCGUGUAAAGCUCCUUCGACGAGUCGAGUUGUUUGGGAAUGCAGCUCUAAAUGGGUGGUAAAUUUCAUCUAAAGCUAAAUACUGGCCGGAGACCGAUAGCGCACAAGUAGAGUGAUCGAAAGAUGAAAAGCACUUUGAAAAGAGAGUUAAACAGCACGUGAAAUUGUUGAAAGGGAAGCGCUUGCGACCAGACUCGCCCGCGGGGUUCAGCCGGCAUUCGUGCCGGUGUACUUCCCCGUGGGCGGGCCAGCGUCGGUUUGGGCGGCCGGUCAAAGGCCCCUGGAAUGUAGUACCCUCCGGGGUACCUUAUAGCCAGGGGUGCAAUGCGGCCAGCCUGGACCGAGGAACGCGCUUCGGCACGGACGCUGCAUAAUG
RNAcentral lists this ribosomal RNA (596 nucleotides) under Aspergillus tubingensis. RNAcentral's name for it is "eukaryotic LSU rRNA". It matches the Rfam family "Eukaryotic large subunit ribosomal RNA", at positions 25 to 636 of the family's 3401-position model. Lineage: Eukaryota; Fungi; Ascomycota; Eurotiomycetes; Eurotiales; Aspergillaceae. The record is from RNAcentral.